UUCACUUCACUAAGCUCUUGCCAUCAAAGAAAUCCCUAAACCUUGAAGUUACCAGGUUCCGCUAAAAUAACUGCUAAACAUAUAAACGUUAACAAAUGUUUUACUACCCAAAUGUCCUCCACCGCCAUACAGGAUGUUUUUCCACAAUUUGGUUAGCAGCCACCAGAGGUAUCAGGGUCACUCGCAGAGAGCUUCUCAAAGUCAAUGUCAAGCGAACAUGUAUGGACAUUUUGGACUAUGUGACAGCUCAGGUUCCUCCACCCCAACCCAACCUGCCGAGGCCUCGGUUCUCUCUCUACCUGUCGUCCCAGCUGCAGUAUGGCGUGGUCGUGGUCUACCACAGACAAUGUGCCUUCCUGCUCGAGGAGGUUCAACAGACCAUUGACCGCCUGCUGCGCUCUAAAAGAUGCAUAUGUAUUGACAUUGCUGAGUCUGACAGGCUGGCCUUGGAUAUGCCUGACAGCCUGUACAGGAUGGAGGAGGCUGAGGGAGCUCAGGACCCCUUCUUCGGUCUCAUGGACUCACACCAACUGCCCAGCCCCUAUAAAAUACACCAGCCAACGUUGGUGAAUGAAGAGGCAGGUUCACAGCACUCCCUGGUGCCCAGUCCCCACACCUCACUCGACAAAGACGGUUUCAGGUCACCUCCAGCUGCCAUCACGCUGACAGAGAAGUCGCAGUUGCUCAUCACCCCUGCUGAGUAUUUCGAGGGAGAUGACCUUCCUGAAGCCACGGCCAGAGAGAUUGACUUGUUGAUGGAUCAACCUGAUCAGUUUCGUGGAGAAGUGGCUGAGGCCGAGCAGAGGAGCCGGGGACUUGAAGGAGCCAUGACCUCUAUUGAUCAGUUGAAGGUGACGGAGCUGGGCGCAGAGCGAGACAGUGUGAUGCUACCAGGUGAAGAGUCGGGUCAGUCUGUGGGGGUUCCUCUGGCAGCUGUUCCCCUGGAGAUGACCCCGCCGCAGGUUACCAUGCCAACCUCACCUUCUGGUGCAUCUGGGAAAGAGGGAGACAGAGCAACAGAAAGUCCCAAUGAAGAGGUGGUCGUUCCUCCAUUCAGGAAGCCUGGUGGAGGUCGCAGGCGUCAGCUGGUCUUUGCAGACCCUCAGGUCCAGAUAUCAGACAGAGCAAUGCAGGAACAGAUCAGAAACCCGCUGGCCGAGACACAGGACCUGUCCGCGGUGUUGCUGGAUGUGCCCUCCUUGACUAAGCGUGCCACACCUGCUCAGCUCUUCAGCGCCCCCUGUGGAUGUCAGUGCUACUCUUCACUCCCAGGCUCCCUCCAUACUGACCUCCAAUUGCUAUGGAAACACUGUGCCUCCCUCACUGUCCUGCCUGGACACUGCGAAAAACAGAGGGGGGAGGUGGAAGACCAGGAGGAGGCGAGAGAGGAGUCAGAGCAGGACAGAGAAAUACUGAGGACAGAGAGAAAGAGGACGCACUCAGGCAUGAGGGAGAUAUCCAGUGAGUCAGGACUGCCCCCCACAGAGGGCUCAUCUGCAUUAGAUGUGAUCCUGGACAUGUCCAAAGAGGACAAAUCUGUAAGCGAUGUGAUCACUCCUGUCAGCAGAUGGUCUCCGCAGGAGGAGGCCCAGCCACUGAUGGAGCGUAUAGUGGAGGAGAACAUCGAGAUGCCCGAGGCUCAGACGGACGCAGAGAGCAGUGACAUGCUGAGGUUGAACCCCCUCAUGUACUGCUCACACUUCGCUUGUCUCUUCCAGCUGGAUCUCCUCCAAACUGCAGAGGUCUGGAGAAGUCACCUUUGACUCUCUGGUACCCCCAGAGGCUGACCGCACCACUGCAGCUCACACACUCUACAAAGUGCUGGAGCUGCUGUCUGCUGGCCAGGUGACGGUCCAACAGACUGAACCGUACAGUGACAUCACCAUCAGCCCUGCAGCACUGCCUGAUCACUGACUCACACUACAGUCCUGGACAAGUAAUUCAUGAUACCUGUUUUUCAUUGAUGAAUAUAAUGAAUUAAUUUGAUCCUGUGUAACACAUGAAACACAUCAAAUCUCACACUCAUGAUAUCUUACAUUGUAAAAAAAAAAAAAAAAAAAGUUU
Molecule: RNA transcript, 2064 nt
Organism: Micropterus salmoides (largemouth bass)
Lineage: Eukaryota; Metazoa; Chordata; Actinopteri; Centrarchiformes; Centrarchidae
Gene: rec8b
Gene name: REC8 meiotic recombination protein b
Exons: 18
Source: RefSeq, a predicted model, not a curated record